UGGGGAAUAUUGCACAAUGGGCGCAAGCCUGAUGCAGCCAUGCCGCGUGUGUGAAGAAGGCCUUCGGGUUGUAAAGCACUUUCAGCGAGGAGGAAGGUGGUGGACUUAAUACGUUCAUCAAUUGACGUUACUCGCAGAAGAAGCACCGGCUAACUCCGUGCCAGCAGCCGCGGUAAUACGGAGGGUGCAAGCGUUAAUCGGAAUUACUGGGCGUAAAGCGCACGCAGGCGGUUUGUUAAGUCAGAUGUGAAAUCCCCGGGCUCAACCUGGGAACUGCAUUUGAAACUGGCAAGCUAGAGUCUCGUAGAGGGGGGUAGAAUUCCAGGUGUAGCGGUGAAAUGCGUAGAGAUCUGGAGGAAUACCGGUGGCGAAGGCGCCCCCCUGGANGAAGACUGACGCUCAGGUGCGAAAAGCGUGGGGAGCAAACAGAUUAGNUA
Molecule: ribosomal RNA, 437 nt
Filed under: uncultured bacterium
Lineage: Bacteria
Description: partial 16S ribosomal RNA
Rfam family: Bacterial small subunit ribosomal RNA
Source: RNAcentral